RNAcentral lists this ribosomal RNA (723 nucleotides) under Vibrio sp. 12E04. RNAcentral's name for it is "bacterial SSU rRNA". It matches the Rfam family "Bacterial small subunit ribosomal RNA", at positions 33 to 735 of the family's 1533-position model. The record is from RNAcentral. Lineage: Bacteria; Pseudomonadati; Pseudomonadota; Gammaproteobacteria; Vibrionales; Vibrionaceae.
ACGCUGGCGGCAGGCCUAACACAUGCAAGUCGAGCGGAAACGACAACAUUGAAUCUUCGGAGGAUUUAAUGGGCGUCGAGCGGCGGACGGGUGAGUAAUGCCUAGGAAAUUGCCUUGAUGUGGGGGAUAACCAUUGGAAACGAUGGCUAAUACCGCAUAAUGCCUACGGGCCAAAGAGGGGGAUCUUCGGACCUCUCGCGUCAAGAUAUGCCUAGGUGGGAUUAGCUAGUUGGUGAGGUAAUGGCUCACCAAGGCGACGAUCCCUAGCUGGUCUGAGAGGAUGAUCAGCCACACUGGAACUGAGACACGGUCCAGACUCCUACGGGAGGCAGCAGUGGGGAAUAUUGCACAAUGGGCGAAAGCCUGAUGCAGCCAUGCCGCGUGUAUGAAGAAGGCCUUCGGGUUGUAAAGUACUUUCAGUUGUGAGGAAGGGUGUGUAGUUAAUAGCUGCGCAUCUUGACGUUAGCAACAGAAGAAGCACCGGCUAACUCCGUGCCAGCAGCCGCGGUAAUACGGAGGGUGCGAGCGUUAAUCGGAAUUACUGGGCGUAAAGCGCAUGCAGGUGGUUCAUUAAGUCAGAUGUGAAAGCCCGGGGCUCAACCUCGGAACUGCAUUUGAAACUGGUGAACUAGAGUGCUGUAGAGGGGGGUAGAAUUUCAGGUGUAGCGGUGAAAUGCGUAGAGAUCUGAAGGAAUACCAGUGGCGAAGGCGGCCCCCUGGACA